CGUCAGAGGUGAAAUUCUUGGAUUGACUGAAGACUAACUACUGCGAAAGCAUUUGCCAAGGACGUUUUCAUUAAUCAAGAACGAAAGUUAGGGGAUCGAAGAUGAUCAGAUACCGUCGUAGUCUUAACCAUAAACUAUGCCGACUAGGGAUCGGGUGGUGCUACUUUGCCCACUCGGCACCUUACGAGAAAUCAAAGUUUUUGGGUUCUGGGGGGAGUAUGGUCGCAAGGCUGAAACUUAAAGGAAUUGACGGAAGGGCACCACCAGGAGUGGAGCCUGCGGCUUAAUUUGACUCAACACGGGGAAACUCACCAGGUCCAGACGUAAUAAGGAUUGACAAGUUAGAGACUUCUCUUGAUCUUACGGGUGGUGGUGCAUGGCCGUUUUUAGUCCUUGGAGUGAUUUGUCUGCUUAAUUGCGAUAACGGACGAGACCUUAACCUGCUAAAUAGGGCUGCGAGCAUCUGCUCGGGUGCUCUUCUUAGAGGGACUAUGGGUAUCAAACCCAUGGAAGUUUGAGGCAACAACAGGUCUGUGAUGCCCUUAGACGUUCUGGGCCGCACGCGCGCUACACUG
This 575-nucleotide ribosomal RNA is filed under the name [Candida] sp. Levazot8. RNAcentral describes it as "SSU rRNA". It matches the Rfam family "Eukaryotic small subunit ribosomal RNA", at positions 903 to 1505 of the family's 1831-position model. The record is from RNAcentral. Lineage: Eukaryota; Fungi; Ascomycota; Saccharomycetes; Saccharomycetales.